Molecule: ribosomal RNA, 471 nt
Filed under: uncultured bacterium
Lineage: Bacteria
Description: bacterial SSU rRNA
Rfam family: Bacterial small subunit ribosomal RNA
Source: RNAcentral
AUUGAACGCUGGCGGAAUGCUUUACACAUGCAAGUCGAACGGUAACAGGUCUUCGGAUGCUGACGAGUGGCGAACGGGUGAGUAAUAUAUCGGAACGCGCCCAGUCGUGGGGGAUAACGUAGCGAAAGUUACGCUAAUACCGCAUACGAUCUACGGAUGAAAGCGGGGGAUCGCAAGACCUCGCGCGAUUGGAGCGGCCGAUAUCAGAUUAGGUAGUUGGUGGGGUAAAGGCUCACCAAGCCAACGAUCUGUAGCUGGUCUGAGAGGAUGAUCAGCCACACUGGGACUGAGACACGGCCCAGACUCCUACGGGAGGCAGCAGUGGGGAAUAUUGGACAAUGGGCGAAAGCCUGAUCCAGCAAUGCCGCGUGAGUGAUGAAGGCCUUAGGGUUGUAAAGCUCUUUUACCAGGGAUGAUAAUGACAGUACCUGGAGAAUAAGCUCCGGCUAACUCCGUGCCAGCAGCCGCGGU